Molecule: transfer RNA, 73 nt
Filed under: Planctomycetaceae bacterium
Lineage: Bacteria; Pseudomonadati; Planctomycetota; Planctomycetia; Planctomycetales; Planctomycetaceae
Description: tRNA-Lys
Rfam family: tRNA
About the family: Transfer RNA (tRNA) molecules are approximately 80 nucleotides in length.
Source: RNAcentral
GCCCCUGUAGCUCAAUUGGCAGAGCAACUGACUCUUAAUCAGUAGGUUGAAGGUUCAAGUCCUUCCGGGGGCA